This 492-nucleotide ribosomal RNA is filed under the name uncultured bacterium. Its description in RNAcentral is "partial 16S ribosomal RNA". It matches the Rfam family "Bacterial small subunit ribosomal RNA", at positions 29 to 507 of the family's 1533-position model. The record is from RNAcentral.
AGUGAACGCUGGCGGCAGGCCUAACACAUGCAAGUCGAACGGCAGCACAGUAAGAGCUUGCUCUUACGGGUGGCGAGUGGCGGACGGGUGAGGAAUACAUCGGAAUCUACUUUUUCGUGGGGGAUAACGUAGGGAAACUUACGCUAAUACCGCAUACGACCUACGGGUGAAAGCAGGGGAUCUUCGGACCUUGCGCGAUUGAAUGAGCCGAUGUCGGAUUAGCUAGUUGGGGGGGUAACGGCCCACCAAGGCGACGAUCCGUAGCUGGUCUGAGAGGAUGAUCAGUCACACUGGAACUGAGACACGGUCCAGACUCCUACGGGAGGCAGCAGUGGGGAAUAUUGGACAAUGGGCGCAAGCCUGAUCCAGCCAUGCCGCGUGUGUGAAGAAGGCCUUCGGGUUGUAAAGCACUUUUGUUGGGGAGGAAGGGCAGUAGGUUAAUACCUCGCUGUUGUGACGGUACCAAAAGAAUAAGCACCGGCUAACUUCGUG